UACGGGGGGGGCAAGCGUUGUUCGGAAUUACUGGGCGUAAAGGGCUCGUAGGCGGCCAACUAAGUCAGACGUGAAAUCCCCAGGCUCAACCUGGGAACUGCGUCUGAUACUGGAUGGCUUGAAUCCGGGAGAGGGAUGCAGAAUUCCAGGUGUAGCGGUGAGAUGCGUAGAUAUCUGGAGGAAUACCGGUGGCGAAGGCGGCAUCCUGGACCGGCAUUGACGCUGAGGAGCGAAAGCCAGGGGAGCAAACGGG
This 253-nucleotide ribosomal RNA is filed under the name uncultured bacterium. RNAcentral describes it as "partial 16S ribosomal RNA". It matches the Rfam family "Bacterial small subunit ribosomal RNA", at positions 524 to 776 of the family's 1533-position model. The record is from RNAcentral.